Humulus lupulus (European hop) is the source of this 106-nucleotide small nucleolar RNA. The record is from RefSeq and is a predicted model, not a curated record. Lineage: Eukaryota; Viridiplantae; Streptophyta; Magnoliopsida; Rosales; Cannabaceae.
AUUCCAUGAUGUGGGAACUUCCUUUGCAACUCUUUAAAGUGUUCCCACGCAUCAUAUAAUGACUCCCCAGCCAGCUAAUGGAAGUUAUUGAUCUCUCCUCUAUAUU